UACGAAGGGGGCUAGCGCUGCUCGGAAUCACUGGGCGUAAAGGGCGCGUAGGCGGAUCUUUAAGUCGGGGGUGAAAGCCUGAGGCUCAACCUCAGAAUUGCCUUCGAUACUGGAGAUCUUGAGACCGGAAGAGGUAAGUGGAACUGCGAGUGUAGAGGUGAAAUUCGUAGAUAUUCGCAAGAACACCAGUGGCGAAGGCGGCUUACUGGUCCGGUUCUGACGCUGAGGCGCGAAAGCGUGGGGAGCAAACAGG
Molecule: ribosomal RNA, 253 nt
Filed under: uncultured bacterium
Lineage: Bacteria
Description: partial 16S ribosomal RNA
Rfam family: Bacterial small subunit ribosomal RNA
Source: RNAcentral